RNAcentral lists this ribosomal RNA (250 nucleotides) under uncultured bacterium. RNAcentral's name for it is "partial 16S ribosomal RNA". It matches the Rfam family "Bacterial small subunit ribosomal RNA", at positions 524 to 776 of the family's 1533-position model. The record is from RNAcentral.
AACGGAGGGGGCUAGCGUUAUUCAUCCUGAUUGGGCGUAAAGGGUACGUAGGUGAUGAAAAAUGAUUUUAGAGAAAUUUCAGGUUUGUAUCUUGAAGCACCUAAAAGCAUCGAUUAAUUCGAGAUUGAGGAGGUUGGCAGAAUUACUAAUGUAACGGUAAAAUGUUGCGAUAUUAGUGGGAAUGCCGGAGGCGAAGGCGGCUCUCUUUAAGGUCUGACACUGAGGUACUAAAGCAUGGGGAUCAAACAGG